CAUGGAGGGUGAGAAUCCCGUCCGGUUGAUCAGAUUCGCUUUACGAUACGCUUUCUAAGAGUCAAGUUGUUUGGGAUUGCAGCUUAAAAUGGGAGGCAAAUUUCUCCUAAGGCUAAAUAACGGCGAGAGACCGAUAGCGAACAAGUACCGUGAGGGAAAGAUGAAAAGAACUUUGAAAAGAGAGUUAAACAGUACGUGAAAUUGUUGAAAGGGAAACGAUUGAAGCCAGUCGUACCUUCGGGUAAUCAGCCUUUUCGGGUGCGAUUCUGUGGGGUUUGAUGAGCUUAACACCUUCAUGCUCUGCAUAUUCGUGCUCUUGGGUGUACUUGCCCGUGUGGUUGGUUAACAUCAAUUUUGGUGGUCAUAAAAUGACUGGAGGAAUGUAGCUUCGAUCUUGUAUUGAAGUGUUAUAGCCUUCGGUAGAUGUGAUGAUCGAGAUUGAGGAUUGCAACGGAUACCCUUCGGGGCUACCUGUCUGAUCUCUGAUCGUUGCUCUGGUGCCGAAAGCUUGCUUACGGUUAUCAAAGUCGAUGGUCAAUAGGUUAGAAUGGGUUAAAUUCGUUAAGGAUGUUGACGUA
This 578-nucleotide ribosomal RNA is filed under the name uncultured Glomus. RNAcentral's name for it is "eukaryotic LSU rRNA". It matches the Rfam family "Eukaryotic large subunit ribosomal RNA", at positions 204 to 633 of the family's 3401-position model. The record is from RNAcentral. Lineage: Eukaryota; Fungi; Glomeromycota; Glomeromycetes; Glomerales; Glomeraceae.